GAAAAUGUGGCUUGGGGAAGGACGAGCUGGUUGCAGCGCUCUUAAUGAUGAUUUCAUGUGAUGGCAUUGUGCUGAAACUCAGUAGAACCUGCCCGGAAGUCUGCAGAUGCUCUUCAGACGUAUUUUCAAGGAUGGAUCCAUCUUGGAAUGAGGAUUUUUGUUCUUAAACCCUGUUCUGUCUCAGCUGGCUCUCUCAUUUCUUAUUUGAACUGUGAAAAUCAAAUGCUGUGUCUGGUUAGAUUUUAGGAAAAGUAUUCUGGCCCUCCCAAAUGUGAUAAGAAGCCAGUUACAGUGAUCUGGGUGUUAAAGCAGCCACAGUGGAAGAAUUCUAGCUAAAUAGAGACCAUCUGUGCCCUAGAGUGAACGCGUCUCAUCCAGCUUCUGACCCGAUUAUCUCUGAGCUAUUGCUCUCGCAGCUCCAUACAUGAGUCCAGGCCUGAGAUUCCCAGGACACAGACCAACAGGUUGUGCAAUGAAGACUUUAUGAGAAAUUAUUUUUUUCUCUUUUCCUCAGGGCCUGAAGUCAGCAAGCCAAAAAGCAUUUUAUCCUAAUAUAGAAAAGAAUUAGACAGCAGAUGCUUCUUCACAGCAGCCUGCGUGCUGGAAAGGGAAAAGAAAUGGUGCAACCCUUUCUCUGGCAAGAGUUAGGACUGAAUCAUCAUGGGAGUGUUUGCGGUGAAAUUGCAUUUUUCUCUUAGAUAGUGAAAUUAUGAUCACUGAGUUAUGGACAGCUAGUCCAGAGUGCCUUUGGUGAGAUACCCUCUUUUUCAUCACAUAAAAGUAUGUCUUUAGCUCCAAAGGAACAAAACAUUCAAGAAUAUAUCAUCAUGGGAGGGGAGCAGAUAGAAGGAAACCCUGGAAAAUAGUUGGCUCAGUUCAAGAAGUCAGGAGAGCCAACAAAGUUGUGAAGAUUUGUUUUCCUUGUGAACCAAGGCUGGAAAUUGUGACAUUAUCUCUAUAAUCAUAUAAAAACAAAAGGUCACCCAAAUGAACAAUUUUCCUAGUGGCCACCAUGAGAUAAGCUAUAAAAUCAAUUCUAUGUCACCCAACCAAAGAUAAC
Molecule: long non-coding RNA, 1060 nt
Filed under: Fukomys damarensis (Damara mole-rat)
Lineage: Eukaryota; Metazoa; Chordata; Mammalia; Rodentia; Bathyergidae
Description: lncRNA (ENSFDAG00000030049.1)
Source: RNAcentral